GUAGGUAUAGCUCAAAUGACAGAGUGCAUGCUUAGUAUGCAUGAGGUCCUAGGUUCAAUCCUGGUACCUCCU
RNAcentral lists this transfer RNA (72 nucleotides) under Camelus bactrianus (Bactrian camel). It matches the Rfam family "tRNA". From Rfam's summary of the family: Transfer RNA (tRNA) molecules are approximately 80 nucleotides in length. Their secondary structure includes four short double-helical elements and three loops (D, anti-codon, and T loops). Further hydrogen bonds mediate the characteristic L-shaped molecular structure. tRNAs have two regions of fundamental functional importance: the anti-codon, which is responsible for specific mRNA codon recognition, and the 3' end, to which the tRNAs corresponding amino acid is attached (by aminoacyl-tRNA synthetases). tRNAs cope with the degeneracy of the genetic code in two manners: having more than one tRNA (with a specific anti-codon) for a particular amino acid; and 'wobble' base-pairing, i.e. permitting non-standard base-pairing at the 3rd anti-codon position. The record is from Rfam by way of RNAcentral. RNAcentral also lists the same sequence under 1 other name. Lineage: Eukaryota; Metazoa; Chordata; Mammalia; Artiodactyla; Camelidae.